UGAGUAAAAAACGAGCGAUUCAAGGGCAC
RNAcentral lists this non-coding RNA (29 nucleotides) under Mus musculus (house mouse). Lineage: Eukaryota; Metazoa; Chordata; Mammalia; Rodentia; Muridae. The record is from RNAcentral.